CAACUGUUUUGACCGUUGGGAGACCUAAAUUAAACCUCAGUCCUUAAGCGUGGACUCAUAGUUACACAGGUCACCAGUCCUAGGAUGAGCGAAGAGAAGCCAGCAGAACCUGCAGCAGAAGCAGCUCCUGAGGGAGAAGGAGGAGAACAACUAGAGGAGGAUGCUGAGGUGCUGAACCCCCCGUGUAUCGACCUGACGGACUACAAGCUCAAGAUCGACCACUUCGACCAGAUGCACGUGCUGGAGGAGGAGGGGAAACUAGAAGGGGCGGAGAACUUUAGA
Molecule: long non-coding RNA, 282 nt
Organism: Eurytemora carolleeae
Lineage: Eukaryota; Metazoa; Arthropoda; Copepoda; Calanoida; Temoridae
Exons: 3
Source: RefSeq, a predicted model, not a curated record